UUAGAAUUCAUCAGGGUGACUUUCCAGAGUGGCCCUAAGUAUCAGAACAUGUGGUAUUCAUGUUUGCUGGACAGAUUUGACUUCAUUGUUCCAGAAACAAGGGGGAUGCCUGGGAGUGAUCAUCUUAGAACAUGUGAAAUAUUAGUCACGUACCCAUCCUUGGCCCAAGAUUUGGACCUAACAGCCAGCAUGCCAGAAACUGGCUGGGAAAACAAUCCCGAAUCUGCUUCCAAACAAGCUAACUGGUGCCUACAGGGACGAAAUCCAGAUUAUAGGCCCCAACCAAACCCAGCCAACAGUCAGAUGGAGGUCUGUAAACUUUCCACACACUUAGUGGGCCUCUGAGAGAGGCCUUGGAGAAAAUAUUCUUCCUUUAUCUAUCAGCAUGCUCAUGCUUUGCAAGGGAAAUGUCAGCUCCAAGGGCUCUUGACGAGUGAAACAAAACACUGCUUUGUAGCUCGGAUGCUACUUAGAAGCCUGGCCUGUGUAUAUUGCAAGUAAUCAAUGAACUCUGAUUUUGAGUGUCAUGUUUUGCAAACAUUUCCUGAGAUAUGGAGUACUGCAGUCUCCUUUUCUGACCAUGAACACCUACUGUGAACACCUACAAAGGGCAUUACAGAAAGCAGCGCCGACAACCUGAUGCAAGUCACCCUUGGGAGACGCUUACUGAGAAAGUGAAUGACUUGAAAGGGCUGAGGGCCGGGAGAAAGGGGGCCUCUCUCCACAUGAGAUGCAAGCCCGCAGCAGGAGAGGGGAAGCCGCUGCUGAGAGCGCUUCCCAUGAGUGAGCACGACACUGCCAGGCCUUAAGGGAUGUGCCAUUUCCUUUCUCUUUGGAGUGAUGAAGAUGGCAGGUGAAAUUUUCAGGAGCGUGGCCCACAGAGCCUUCCUGAGGUUCUGAACUACAUAGAGGUGCUAGUGCACUGAGAGUUAAAGCCCCAAGUCCUCCCCACAGAGCUUAAUACCACCCAAAUGUUCCUUGUUACAGCUUUUAAUUCCUGAAACACCGACACAUGGAUGAGACUUGUUAUCAUCCUCUUUCGUUUUUUUAGCAACCCAAUGAACCUCCCUCAUGGCUUUCAUAACUUGCUUUUAAACCCCUUGAAAAUACCGCUGCAGUGUGGCUUUCUCUGCUCCAUUGCCCCAUGGGAAGGAACAUCCUCAAAUUACCCUCUUUCUCUUUCUCUGCAUCAACACAUAGAAAGUGCUGGCUCAUCAUUCAUCUCCCACACUCCUUUCCUAUUUCUUUACGCCCUGACUUCAAGUGCUCAAACAUUUUAGCCAAAUCUCUAAUUAAGAGAAAAGAGAAGCCCCUGGAGAGAGGAGGAGCUGCAUACCAAGGCCUGGGGCUCUAGCUGCAUGAUAGCUGGUCGCAGCUUUGUAACGGACAGUUUAGUCUUUCACCGGUUCUCAUUAACACUGUCUAAGAGAUCCGCAGGUUUGCCCAGUGACAGGUCUGUAUGGAAUGCGGCACCCAGGAUGCCUCUGUCCCUUGGUGACUGAAGAAGCAUUUGAUUCGUUGGGCUGCCCAAUGAUUUAUUGGGAGUGACCAAAUUGUGCUUUCAAAAAGACGAAGUGUGGAAAUAAAGACAGGAAUCAAGGUUUGCUCCGUGCCUACUGCGGGUCAGCAUCGUAAGAAGCACUACAUUGGGAUGUGGUGGGGAUCAAAUGAGAAAACAGACCUACAGCAC
RNAcentral lists this long non-coding RNA (1690 nucleotides) under Homo sapiens (human). RNAcentral's name for it is "HSALNT0352880". Lineage: Eukaryota; Metazoa; Chordata; Mammalia; Primates; Hominidae. The record is from RNAcentral.